UACUUUAAAAACAAACAUACACACGACAACACUUAUUCUUUUUUAAAAGCUUGAAAACAGCUUAAAACCUGAAAGCUCUUUCGCUAAAUAGUAGAAAAAGGAGUAGUUUAUGAAAGAAGCUUAUCUACCAACUGUAACUCUUAUAUUAUGUUGUGAAUACUUUGGAUACACAACAACAUUGUGUGGCACAGUACACAUAAAAAGGUAAUAAAUUCCGAAAAAUGUCAAAAUUCGUUUGUCAAAAAAUGGGCACGAAUCUGUCAGGCCGGCCUUUAAUUUUUAUAUUUCAAUCGCAGUAAACAGGAAAUUUGUUUUUGUUUUAAUUUAUAAAAUGUCAUUUGAAAAAAUUAUAAAUUAAAAAAUAACAAAUUUUCUUCGUGUUUCGUCUCGGAAAAUGGUAACUUAGUUGUUGUGCGAGGUUUUUCGGUUUUUGUGCACUUUUCGUCGAUAAUUUAAACAAUUAAGAAUUACGGUAGCUGACAUUGGUCGCCAAAUUGUCAUGUUUUGACAAUUUGGCAACCAAUGUCAGUUCGGAAGAUAUUACCUAUUUAUGUAUACUGUGCCGAUGUUGUUAAAGUAUUUUAAUUUCUGACGUAUGAGAAACAAAGAUCAUCAAAAUCCCUAAUAUUGUCAUUUUUUGAGCUUUAGUUACUCCACACUACUGCAUACUUUUUCUGGAGCUCAAUUUCUUUUAAACAGUUGUUUUUUUUUUUACAUAUUAACCCAUUGCCUGCCACUGUACUCAAUUGAGUAUACAGUAAAUUUAUAAAACUUAAACAUUUUUUUUUUUAAGUAGGCUUUGAUUUCUUUGGAUUUUAAAUUAAUCAUAGACAUGUGCCUUGUCACUCGAAAAAAAAUAGGAACUUGCUUGAGAGAUAUUUUCCUAGUUAUUCAUAUUUUUUUUUUGUGUCCAUUACUUUUCGAUUUUAGCAGAUUUGUGUGAUACCAAAACUAAAAGGUUUGUUAAAGUUUAAAUAUUUGAGCAAAUAGAACAAACGAUUAAAAAAAUACAAUUUUUGCCCACGAAAAAUGGAUUUUCAACAAUAAACUGCACCAGCUUUAUGGCAGACGCUGUCCAAACCUUUACAUGGCUGUUGACGUGUUGAUGAUAUCCAAGAUAACGGGAAUGAAUUCGACAUUGUAGUUAUUCCACCGGAUGUGGAUAUCCAAACGGAUGAGGAGGACACAUGUGAGGAUGAUUUAUUUGAUUCUACUAUUCCGGUUGACAUCCCAGGAGCGGUAGAAAUAGAAGUAUACGAUGGCUUUGAAAGCGAGGACGACAUUCCACUUGAUAAUUAUUUUCUUGAAAACUAGAAGACAUAUAGUUUUCACUGUUCGAUAAGGAAUCAAUUGAGGCAGUUUUGUGUGUGAAAAUUUUUUUUAUUAAAAUUCACAGUCUGGACAAAAAUAGUAUUAAAUGAGUUUUUAAAAAAAUUUGUUCGCCUAUUUUUAACUUUGAAAUCGAUUAUUUCAAAAACUAUUGGUUAUGUUAUAUUGAUUUAAAAAUUAGAAUCAAAUUUACAAUUUUUCCUUUCGGAAACGGUAUCAUUUAUUACUAAAACUGCCCCUCCCACCUAAACGGGGGGAGAUAGACCCCCCUUCCAAAGAAAAAAAAUGUUUGUAUUGAGCUCCUCUACAAAAACCCGCUAUCAAAUCCUGGCGCCCAGGUUAUCCUACUACGUGCCGAAACAACAUUUUUGUUCUAUACCUAAAAGUUCGAAUUUCGGUAUCUGGGUUGAAAUCGAAAAUUUUAUUUUUCUAAGCCAAUUUUGGAGUGAUUUUCAUAAAAAAUACCUCGAUUGAUUGGGAAAUAGAUAUAGUUUAUGAAUAUAUUUUUUAAAUAGCAUGUUGUUUUGAAAACAUAUACUUUAAAUUGAUGCCGAAGUUGGGCAAAUGACGAAAAAAAUGGAAUUUUUGAACUUUGACAGCUUAUAAAUUCUAAGUGGUUUAACCGAGUUACAUGUUUUAUACAUUGUUGAAAAGGUAUAUUUAUCUUCUAUCAGAAACUGUAAAAAAUCGAAAAUGGGUAAAAAAUUGUCGAAGCUAGAAUUCUUUCAAUGGGUGAAGGUCCAAAAAACCGUUUUUUGCCCGUAACUUCAGAUUUUGGGGGUGUUAGGGGAUUUUCAAAUACCGUUUCGUAAUCAGUGCGACUAGCUCUACAAAACCUGAUAGGUCUCCGCCCGCGUAUAUUUUGAAACCUCAUUUUUGUAAGACCGUGUAAUUUAAGGACAACCAUUUUAAAUAAGGGUGAGCCACAAUGUACAACUUCAAAAUGGUCUAAUGGUUGUAUUCCACUGCAAUGCAAUAUUUCAUUAUUUGACAAAUUUGGCAAAACUGAAAGAACAUUUGGAAUUGGAAGAUGAAGUUCAAACUAUUGAACAUUUUUUUGAUGAUGAAGUGACGAAUUUGAUUAUAGAGCAAAGUCAAAUAUACGCACUUGGACAAAACUGUCACACAUUCGCCCUUAGGAAAGAAGACCUUAAAAAGUUUUUUGGCAUAAGGCUCUUUUCUGGCUAUCACCACGUUGCCCCAGGAAUCACUUUAUUGGUGUUUAGACGAAGAUACCACAAUUCUAUUGGUAGCUAAUGCCAUGUCCCGUAAUCACUUCAAACAAAUUAAAUGUUUUAUUCAUCUGGCCAACAAUUCUCUUCUUGAAAAAACCGAUAAAAUGGCAAAAGUUCAGCCAUUGAUGAAAAUGGUUUGCCAUAAGUAUAAGGAAUGAAACUUUUUCCACGAGAAACUGUCUGUUGAUGAGGCUAUGGUAAAGUAAUUCGGUCAUCACUCUGCAAAGCAAUUUAUCCGAGGAAAAGUGUUCGGUUUUGAUAUGAGGAGUGGAUGCUUUGCAGUAGCGACGGAUAUUGUUAUAGUUUCGAUAUGUAUUGUGGAGCCAAGAAUGUCAAUCCUUCGAAUAAAUAUCUCCCCCUUGGAUCUCGUGUGGUGCUUGAUUUUCUGGAGGUUUACGUGGAACAAGAAUAUGUCCACUGAAAUCAUUGAAGAUGGUAAUGAAGGCCAAGCGUGAUUACUUCCACCAAAAAUUUGACAAAAACAGUAAUAUUUUGUUUGCGAGCGGGAAAGAUAAUGCUGUUGUAACCGGUGCAACUAAUUAUGACAUUUUAGAACCACUAGGUAAAGUGAAGAGAUGGCCAACAACCGAAAAAGAAAAAGUUUCAAUUCCCCAGCCUAAACCAUUAGUUGCCUACAAUCAAGGCAUGGGUGGCGUCGAUCUCAAUGACCAGUUUGUUAACAAUUACAGAAUCAAAAUCAAGGGCAAGAAAUGGUGGUGGCCAUUGUUAACACAUAUGAUCAACUCAAUGGUGGUGAAUGCAUGGCGACUCCAUUGUUUGAAAACCAACGAAAACCGUAAUCUUCUCAACUUUAUAAGAACAAUUGUGAGAACUUAUUUACGGUCGGGGCCUGCAAUAAAAGCACCAAACAAACCAACAGUUCCUAAAUAUGUGAUAAGCAGUGAUGGUGGGCACUUCCCCAAAAAAAUAAAAAAUCAGCUACUAUGCAGAAUUUGUCACAACAGAGCAAGAUGGACUUGUGAGAAAUGCCAAACAACGUGCAUCGAUAUCGAAAAGGAUUGUUUCAAAAUUUUUCACAAUUAGGAACUUUUAGUACAUACAUCUAGACAGUGUAGGUACUCAUUUGGGUACACCCCUGUAAAACCCAAAGUAAAAAAAAAAAAAUUUUAACUUUGAAUUUUUCGCUUAAUAAACAUAUCAAUAAACAUUAUUUAAAAGGAUUUUAAUUUUUAAGGGGGUCGGUCUUUCAUGGGUUAAGUUCGUUGGUAUUUGAAAAAGAAUUUAAUGUCUUUUUUUUCAUAGUUUCAUAUGCAUUUACCAAAUUUGUAUAAAAAAGUUUUAAACAUUUUAGCAAUUCGAUUUCUUAGAGCAAGUAACAAAAAACACAACUUUAAUGAGAAUUACUUUUGGAAAAGAGGUUUGAAUUAAAGCCAGGAACUCAAUUCAAUUAUUUUAUUUUGAUUUUUUUUUCUUGAUUCUAUUUAUUAGCGUUUUGUUUUUUCCUGGAAAGAGAGCGAUUUCAUGACCAUAUUUUGUCUAAUUUUGCUAUGCUGUUAUCCUUAAUCAGAUAUAAAAUAUAAAAAUAAAAAAGUAUUGAUUAUAAAUAAAAUGAAACUUCCUCAUUUUGUCAGUACCAGUAUAAAUAGGAAAAGCAGAGCCACUGAACAGAUUUAAGAUAUCCCAAUUAUAUAAGAAGAGAAUUAUUUGACAUUCCUCAUAGCAGUUUCUAAAUGUCAUUAGGCCAAAAAAGAUGCCUAAUAGCAAAAUCAGAUUUCGAAAACGGUAACAUUAUGUGAUUUUUUUUUACUGCAUUUUACAAAUGAUAAAAAAUGAAAAACAAAAACAAACAAACAUCCCUUUUAUCAUUUAUGCGAUAUGACACAAAAACCGCGUCUUUUACAAGGUAAUGAUUCGUCUUCCUUGAAUAAUGGUGAAAACCUCUCAUCGGGUUUGUCAGCAGCUUCAAGCACAACAUCCAGCAAUGUUGAGUCUCGUCCUGACAUCAUUGAGCUAGAGUCUAUCCCAUGCAUUUGUAGCAAUAUGGGCCACGAAGAAUAUUUUUCAACAGAGAUGCUCAGCUCAGUACUACAGUGGAGGAUCAAGAUACUCCAUGUUCAUCGUCGUCAAUCACAUGAAAAAGAAAUAUAACUGGCAUCUCUAAGGGCCAGUUGUACAAAUAUUUAAUCCGUGGUUCAGCAACUUUUAUCUUCUGCAUUCGGUGGUAAAAUUGAUUUUUAGCAUUGGAUCUAGGUUCAUAUAGGUUGAAAAAGCUAAAUCCAUCCUUGAACCAAAGUUGAACCACUGCUAAUCCGCCGAAAUUGGCGAGUUAAAUUCCUGAUCCGAGGCUGAACCACGUUUGUACAACUGGCCCUAAGGUAAUCCCCAUUAGCAAAGAAGUUUUUCAGCGCAAUACUAAGUUAAUUUAUCAUAGGUAUUAAAUCCAAUAAGUUGGCAAAAAAAUUUAUUUCUGUCGUUAAUGGAAAACAAAAAAAUAUCCAAAACAUGAUAAAUUCAAACUUCGAUAAGCAAUCAAAGACCAAUAGAGGUAUAUUAGUUUCGAUUGUUAAAACAAUAAUUUUAUGUUUGCGCCAGAAUUUUCCUUGAGAGGUAAAUGACUCAGGAAAUGUAAUGAUUGAAAAGGGCAAAACUAACAAUGGAAAUUUUAGAGCACUUCAUCGAUGAGUCGAGCUUUCAAUGGUUGCCAAGCCAAAAUGGGAAAAAUUCACCUGUGCUCUAUAUGUCCACUGCAGUGCUCACUCACUUAAUUUAGCUAUUGCAGACACAUGCAAAGAAAGAUAUAUUUCAAAUUGCCUUGGAUCAAUUAAAUCCGUUAGGAAUUUUUUCCAUUUUUCUCGGCCCAAAGGAGAAGGACUAGCACUUUGUAUAUAAAAUCUAUAGUACUAUCAUGAAGUGAAAUUUUUUAGUUUGUUCGUUACCUGAGUGGUCGCGAGGGCGCUUAGAUCGAAUAAAUAAUAAGAAUAAGGAGAUGAGAUAUACAUUUCUGUUUGAAAUUUGACAUAUUUUUUAGUUCGUUCGCUAGCUUACUAUUUUGGUAUCGCUGUUUUUUUUUCAUGAUAGUACUAUAGAUUUUAUAUACAAAGGACUAGCAUAUUGACAGAAGAAAUAAAAGUCCACAUGUUUCAAUUAAAACAUCUCUCCUUCAUAGUCAUGUGCGAAACCCGAUGGGUUCAAAAGACAAUAGUGUUAAGCAGGAAAUAAGAAGACGUCACAAAAGGCACACCAACUGUUGCAAGUACCUAAUUGAGAAAGAUAGCUUCAUUGUGGCUGUUUAAAUUUUUUCCCUAACAAUAAAUUUAUCGAAAUUCUUGCAACAGUUGAGUGUGACCUCAAAAACGCUUGUGACCACGUAGAUGACGUCAUUGAUGUUCUCCAAAACAUGCGAGGGAAUGUCGAGGCCAAAUUUAAACUAGUAUUUAAGGCAGCUGAAUUGCAAUACAAAAAUGUAAGUGACGAAGACAAAAUCUUGAUUCCCGCGACUUGCCAAUAGGAAAACAAAUAGAAGCAACGUCCAAGAAAAUUCAGCAGAGGAGUACUAUACUAGAUCAAUUUUCAUACCCGUCCGGAACCAUGCGAUAGAGCACCUCAAAAACCGAUUUAAAAACCAUAAAAACAUAUUAAUUUCGUUUGAUUACCUCCUCCCAAGUAGGUGCACAACUGUUCGUGCUGUCUUGUCUUGUCUGAUCUAAGCAGUUUUCCUGGUGAGUUUGUGGUCAAACAAAAUGGAGCAGAGUGACUGUGAAAGACCAAAAACUGCAUUGGAUACAAUAAAUAACUGUCCAAAUGAGGUCUUUCCAAUUAUAAAUUAAUUCUUGUUUUGGUAACUUUGUCCGUAUCGACAUCCACACCAGAGAGAGCAUUUUCUUCAUUACGUCGUUUGAAAACGUAUUUAAGGAAUUCGAUGGGAGAAGAGCGCAUCCACAAAAACAUAGAAGUUGACCUCAAAAAAGUCGUCAACAAAUUUGCUUUGAAAGGCAGACGUCCAGGUUUUCCCCUUUAAAUUAAUGCUUUUCUAUCUAUUCAUAAAUGUUUCCAAACUGUGUUAUUUUAUAUUUAAUAUUUGUGUAAUUUUGUUUAAAAGUCAGCUAUUACAUGAAGCCUCAAGUGGAGCGACUCUUUUUUAACAUAAUGAGUGCAAAAGAGAAAAAAGAAAAAAUUAUCCGACCGGAGAGUCGUGGGUCGUGAGUCCGAGACUCUUUUUUGACGUUUCUUUUUCCACUUUUUCUUUUUUCAACAUACCCUCUCAUUUCAUCAAAGAGAAAUGUCAAAUUUGAGUCCUUGACUCAAGAGGCAUCGUGUAAUAGUUAGUACGCGCCUCACAGAAUGAUUAUCAAAAGAAAAUUCGAAAAAAGAGUCAAACCUCUUGAGGCUUCGUGUAAUAAUAGCUGACAAAGAAUCUAGUUUUAAAAAAGUUUAUUGUAGUAAUAUUAAUAUAAUUUAAUAUUAUACAUAUUAUCGAUAUUUAUGUAUUUAUUUUGAGUUUAUUCUGCUUUCGUUUUUAUUCGUACCUAAAAAAACAAGGACGCUGCGAUAGUGAGGCCGAAGUGCCUAUUUUUAAAAUUUUUAUUCUUUAAAUUUCACCAAUGAC
Episyrphus balteatus (marmalade hoverfly) is the source of this 7131-nucleotide long non-coding RNA. RefSeq lists it as uncharacterized. The transcript is spliced from 3 exons. Lineage: Eukaryota; Metazoa; Arthropoda; Insecta; Diptera; Syrphidae. The record is from RefSeq and is a predicted model, not a curated record.